RNAcentral lists this ribosomal RNA (382 nucleotides) under Crotalus horridus (timber rattlesnake). Its description in RNAcentral is "partial 12S ribosomal RNA". Lineage: Eukaryota; Metazoa; Chordata; Lepidosauria; Squamata; Viperidae. The record is from RNAcentral.
GCCUAACCUUAACAUACAAUUAAACCACCAAUUGUCCGCCAAACAACUACGAGUUAUACUUAAAACUUAAAAGACUUGACGGUGCUUCACCACGCCCUAGAGGAGCCUGUCUAGUAACCGAUAAUCCACGAUUAACCCAGCCCCUCCUGGCCUAACAGUCUAUAUACCGCCGUCGCCAGCUUACCUUGUAAAAGAAAUAAAGUGAGCUAAACAGCACCACACUUAAACGACAGGUCGAGGUGUAACUAAUGGGGGGNACUAAGAUGGGCUACAUUCUCUUAACCGAGAACACGAACAACACUGUGAAAUUAGUGUUUAAAGGCGGAUUUAGCAGUAAGAUAAGAAUAAAAUACUUAACUGAACAUAACGCAAUGAAGUGCGU